GACGAACGCUGGCGGCGUGCUUAACACAUGCAAGUCGAACGGAAAGGCCCUGCUUUUGUGGGGUGCUCGAGUGGCGAACGGGUGAGUAACACGUGAGUAACCUGCCCUUGACUUUGGGAUAACUUCAGGAAACUGGGGCUAAUACCGGAUAGGAGCUCCUGCUGCAUGGUGGGGGUUGGAAAGUUUCGGCGGUUGGGGAUGGACUCGCGGCUUAUCAGCUUGUUUGUGGGGUAGUGGCUUACCAAGGCUUUGACGGGUAGCCGGCCUGAGAGGGUGACCGGCCACAUUGGGACUGAGAUACGGCCCAGACUCCUACGGGAGGCAGAAGUGGGGAAUAUUGCACAAUGGGCGGAAGCCUGAUGCAGCAACGCCGCGUGCGGGAUGACGGCCUUCGGGUUGUAAACCGCUUUCGCCUGUGACGAAGCGUGAGUGACGGUAAUGGGUAAAGAAGCACCGGCUAACUACGUG
Molecule: ribosomal RNA, 468 nt
Filed under: uncultured bacterium
Lineage: Bacteria
Description: partial 16S ribosomal RNA
Rfam family: Bacterial small subunit ribosomal RNA
Source: RNAcentral